AACGUUUCGUGUACUGGGUACCAAAUGUCAUAACCAGAUUCCAUCCAUCCUCGCCUUUGCCACAUCGUUGUCAUCAGUUGCCUCCUACUUAAAGCUAUCUAUAAUAGACUUAAAAGUCACAAUCGCGAUUCAACAUAUUUCAACAACAAAUGAUGCAGAGACCAAGACGCCGUUGCGAAGGCACAGCCAUGGGCUCUAUUGUUCUCGAUCUCCGCCCUGGUUUUGGCAUCGGUCCUUUUACCCUCGGAAGUUCUAUUUCCGAAGCUUUUGCACAGAUAGAGCAGCAGCCUAACAUUUAUGAUGUUGUCCAUGUUAAGUAUUAUGAUGAGGAGCCCUUAAAACUUGACAUCGUCAUUAGCUUCCCAGAUCAUGGAUUUCAUCUGCGGUUUGAUCCCUGGUCACAGAGACUGCGCCUUAUUGAAAUAUUCGAUGUAAAACGGCUUCAGAUGCGCUAUGCCACCUCUGUAAUAGGCGGGCCGUCCACUUUAGCCACUUUCGUAGCCGUCUAUACUCUUUUUGGGCCUACCUAUCCAGGAACAUAUGACAAGGACCGAGGAGUUUACACUCUAUUUUAUCCAGGAUUGUCGUUUGCUUUUCCAAUUCCCUCCCAGUAUACAGAUUGCUGUCGUGAUGGAGGAGCGGAACUACCUCUGGAGUUUCCAGAUGGCACAACUCCAGUUACUUGCCGUGUAUCAAUAUAUGAUAGUUCUACUGGAAGUAAAGUUGGUGUUGGAUCCAUGAUGGACAAGGCCUGUACUCCUCCUCUGCCUGCUGGCAGCGUCUACAUGGAAGAAGUGCAUGUUAAGCUGGGGGAAGAAUUACGGUUUAGCAUUGGUGGCCAAUACAUCCCCUUUGGUGCAUCACCACAGGAUGUUUGGACUGAAUUAGGUCGACCAUGCGGAAUCCAUCAGAAACAGGUUGAUCAAAUGGUGAUCCAUUCUGCUUCAGAUCCCCGGCCGAGGACAACUCUUUGUGGUGAUUACUUCUACAACUACUUUACUCGUGGCUUAGAUAUACUAUUUGAUGGGCAGACACAUAAAAUCAAGAAAUUUGUCUUGCACACCAACUAUCCAGGGCAUGCUGAUUUUAAUUCAUACAUGAAGUGCAAUUUUGUUAUCCAUUGUUCUGAUUUUGUAGGCUCGUAUCAUCAGGAUUUGAACUCCUCUAAAGCUACUAUUACAGCCAGCACAAAAUGGGAACAAGUUAAGGAGAUACUAGGCGAUUGCGGUCGAGCUGCUAUCCAAACGCAAGGCUCUACGAGCAAUCCGUUUGGAUCUACCUUUGUAUAUGGCUACCAAAAUCUUGCCUUUGAGGUGAUGAAGAAUGGUUACAUUGCGACUGUAACUCUCUUCCAGUCCUGAUGAUCUAUAUGGGGUGGGUGUAAGAUGUCCUUGCUGGAGUGGUUGCCGUUUAAGGAGUGUCCGUUCUCUAGGAGUGUUGGAUAUCUUCUCCAUUUACAAUGUGGAACAUGAGAUGUUGAUAUCUGAUGCUCUCUAUAUAUGAUAUUGACAUCAAGUGGACCUAUAUUUAUUUACCAGCUGCCUGUUGGUGUAUUGUACAGUUCAGUUACUCGAAGAAAGCAGGUCUGCUUUUAACUGACCGUCAUGGUGGAAUUGUAAACCAUGUACAUUUGUUCAUAAUUGUACAGUUUAUUUUGUAAUUGACGUCUCUUGUAAACUUAAAUACAUUGCUCCCAGCUUCUUGUAAUACAAUACUCGUUGCCUGGUUCCUCAGUUAGGCGAAGUUUGGUGGCAUGUGAUUUGAUAAGCAUUGUGCGGGCA
Lycium ferocissimum is the source of this 1781-nucleotide RNA transcript. It is a transcript of the gene named PHAF1 protein At3g51130, with no coding region annotated. The transcript is spliced from 16 exons. The record is from RefSeq and is a predicted model, not a curated record. NCBI's taxonomy places the organism in Eukaryota, Viridiplantae, Streptophyta, Magnoliopsida, Solanales, Solanaceae.